RNAcentral lists this non-coding RNA (89 nucleotides) under Neobacillus jeddahensis. Its description in RNAcentral is "Purine riboswitch". The stretch from base 15 to 88 matches the Rfam family "Purine riboswitch aptamer", at positions 18 to 93 of the family's 102-position model. Rfam says of the family: Riboswitches are metabolite binding domains within certain messenger RNAs that serve as precision sensors for their corresponding targets. Lineage: Bacteria; Bacillati; Bacillota; Bacilli; Caryophanales; Bacillaceae. The record is from RNAcentral.
AAUUGAAUAGGUAGUAUUCGUAUAACUCCAAAGAUAUGGUUUGGAGGUCUCUACCAGGAACCAUUAAUUCCUGAUUACGAAGAAUGUAC